Long non-coding RNA from Daktulosphaira vitifoliae (grape phylloxera), 686 nucleotides. RefSeq lists it as uncharacterized. The record is from RefSeq and is a predicted model, not a curated record. NCBI's taxonomy places the organism in Eukaryota, Metazoa, Arthropoda, Insecta, Hemiptera, Phylloxeridae. The transcript has 3 exons.
GACUAGAUACGAUUUGUGAUCUUUUGACGUAUCAUUGAAAGAAAUCGGUUCGGUGAGAGCUGAGAAAAAGUGGUAACAGACACAAAAAAAAACACAUCAUAGUAAAACCAAUACCUUCUCAACUUCGCAUCGAAACUAAAAAUGUAUAGUGAAGUUCGGUUUAGUUGUAAUGUAUGCUCAAAAAAUUAGUAAGAAAGAGAGCCUUAAUAAGAUACCAGAAGUUAAUAUAUAAUAAAACCCGUCCAGUCCAAUAGUAUAUCAAUAGAAGAAAUGUUUUAAAAUCUAUAAUGUGGAUCAACCAUUACAUAAUUUACUUAUGCCUAAAUGUCAACUUCUAAGAAUGUAAAUGAAGAUCACCUUAAACGUAUUCUUAAUUAUGGAUUGUUUUUGGAGGAAUCAAGACCUGAGUUAAUUACGUUGCUAAAACGUUUACUUAAUUCAAACUACGUGGUGUAGUUUGUACAUAUGAAGUCCUAUUGACGAGUUUCUGAAAGAAGAUUUCACUAAACUACUACUAGAGCAAGGGGAAUGUUUAGGUAAAAGUAGCGAUUUUACGUUAUAAUUGAUUGAUGACAUUCUAUUGAGCACUAACAAAUAUAUGCCUUUUGGUGGUGGUAAAUAUGUCAUAGCAUUAUAAAGUUAAAAAUGUAAAAAAUAAAAUCGAGAAUUUUCACACAAUAAUAGCA